UUCAAAAGAGUGAUUGCUUAGCAUGCUUAGUAAAAUGUACUUUAAUAAUAUGUGACAAAUACUUUUAUAAAAAAAAUAAUAAGGAAAUCUUGAUAUUCUCCUGUCUUUCUUUAAAGCCUAUCUCCUAUUACUUAUAGAAAAUUCAUUUUCAGUCCCAUCUGUUGAUGUUGGUUUAUUUUUUGGUUGUAAAUACCACUUCAUUUCACAACCUGGCCCACUAGUGUCAGGUUGUUUCCUGUUGCAACUGUUAACAAUGCUUUCCUACAUAUAUAUAUAUAUAGCUAUCAAUAGAUGGUUUUCAAGUCAAUUUAAGGUAGCAAAUCUAAUGACACAGCCAACUUUUGAGCAAAAG
Molecule: long non-coding RNA, 352 nt
Filed under: Mytilus galloprovincialis (Mediterranean mussel)
Lineage: Eukaryota; Metazoa; Mollusca; Bivalvia; Mytilida; Mytilidae
Source: RNAcentral